This 723-nucleotide ribosomal RNA is filed under the name Staphylococcus aureus. Its description in RNAcentral is "bacterial SSU rRNA". It matches the Rfam family "Bacterial small subunit ribosomal RNA", at positions 1 to 706 of the family's 1533-position model. Lineage: Bacteria; Bacillati; Bacillota; Bacilli; Caryophanales; Staphylococcaceae. The record is from RNAcentral.
UUUAUGGAGAGUUUGAUCCUGGCUCAGGAUGAACGCUGGCGGCGUGCCUAAUACAUGCAAGUCGAGCGAACGGACGAGAAGCUUGCUUCUCUGAUGUUAGCGGCGGACGGGUGAGUAACACGUGGAUAACCUACCUAUAAGACUGGGAUAACUUCGGGAAACCGGAGCUAAUACCGGAUAAUAUUUUGAACCGCAUGGUUCAAAAGUGAAAGACGGUCUUGCUGUCACUUAUAGAUGGAUCCGCGCUGCAUUAGCUAGUUGGUAAGGUAACGGCUUACCAAGGCAACGAUGCAUAGCCGACCUGAGAGGGUGAUCGGCCACACUGGAACUGAGACACGGUCCAGACUCCUACGGGAGGCAGCAGUAGGGAAUCUUCCGCAAUGGGCGAAAGCCUGACGGAGCAACGCCGCGUGAGUGAUGAAGGUCUUCGGAUCGUAAAACUCUGUUAUUAGGGAAGAACAUAUGUGUAAGUAACUGUGCACAUCUUGACGGUACCUAAUCAGAAAGCCACGGCUAACUACGUGCCAGCAGCCGCGGUAAUACGUAGGUGGCAAGCGUUAUCCGGAAUUAUUGGGCGUAAAGCGCGCGUAGGCGGUUUUUUAAGUCUGAUGUGAAAGCCCACGGCUCAACCGUGGAGGGUCAUUGGAAACUGGAAAACUUGAGUGCAGAAGAGGAAAGUGGAAUUCCAUGUGUAGCGGUGAAAUGCGCAGAGAUAUGGAGGAA